This is a long non-coding RNA of Hyla sarda, 525 nucleotides long. RefSeq lists it as uncharacterized. The transcript is spliced from 3 exons. The record is from RefSeq and is a predicted model, not a curated record. NCBI's taxonomy places the organism in Eukaryota, Metazoa, Chordata, Amphibia, Anura, Hylidae.
CAGUACAUACCCUUCUCCUGCCCUGUCAGGCAGAGUCCCUUUAUGUUCCCAGGGCCCCUGCAGUGUUAUUCCUUAUGUACAUAUGUUAAAAGUGUCAUGUUUCUUUAAUUAUUGUGGUCAUGUGCUUGUUACCCAGGAGGCACUAGUGACCAGGUGACCCCUCUAGUGACCUAUGGGCUCUUUGCUAGACACCCCAAUAAAACCAGGGGUGAUUCUACAAUCUCUCUCUUCCAGCAUUCUUGCUCCUGAGGUCCAGUUCAGCCAAGAUGUCUCAGAGUGUGUGUCCAGAGCAUUGGAGGCCUCAAGCCUAAAGUCCGCAGCCACAAAGUCAGCCCAAAUUUUUCAGUAAAAUGACUGACGUCAUUACAAAGUAGAAUUGAUGGCACAAAAACUAAGCGAUCAUAUGGAUUUUUAGGUGCAAAAUUGAAAGAGUUUUUAAAGGUUGUUCAGGGUUCGAAAUGAUGCGUUUCACCCGCAACAUUUGGCUCCAUGGCAAAGAUUUGAUUCUGGAUUUGGGAUGAAAAC